RNAcentral lists this ribosomal RNA (253 nucleotides) under uncultured bacterium. Its description in RNAcentral is "partial 16S ribosomal RNA". It matches the Rfam family "Bacterial small subunit ribosomal RNA", at positions 524 to 776 of the family's 1533-position model. The record is from RNAcentral.
UACGGAGGGGGCUUGCGUUGUUCGGAAUUACUGGGCGUAAAGCGCGCGUAGGCGGACCUGCAAGUCGGGGGUGAAAGCCCGAGGCUUAACCUCGGAACUGCCUUCGAUACUGCGGGUCUCGAGUCCGGGAGAGGUGAGUGGAAUUCCUAGUGUAGAGGUGAAAUUCGUAGAUAUUAGGAAGAACACCAGUGGCGAAGGCGGCUCACUGGCCCGGUACUGACGCUGAGGCGCGAAAGCGUGGGGAGCAAACAGG